Molecule: ribosomal RNA, 292 nt
Filed under: uncultured bacterium
Lineage: Bacteria
Description: partial 16S ribosomal RNA
Source: RNAcentral
GGACUACUGGGGUAUCUAAUCCCAUUUGCUCCCCUGGCUUUCGUUCCUCAGCGUCAGUUACGGCCCAGUAAGUCGCCUACGCCACUGGUGUUCUUCCUGAUAUCUACGCAUUUCACCGCUACACCAGGAAUUCCACUUACCUCUACCGCACUCCAGUCUGCCAGUAUUCAAUGCACUCCCAGGGUUGGGCCCCGAUCUUUAACACCGAACUUAACAAACCGCCUACGAACUCUUUACGCCCAAUAAAUCCGGACAACGCUUGCAUCCUACGUCUUACCGCGGCUGCUGGCAC